UGACCUCGCAUGACCCAAAAUGGCAGCAUCCAUAUGAAAUAUCUAAACCUUACGUGGCACAACCGAAAUUCUUUACGUAUUUCGCGACCUCACGGCGGAUUAUCUUCUACAAAACCAUCACAACACAUUAGUGCAAGACUCCAACACGUGAACAUAUUGCAACUGUGUGAUGUUCAGCAUGCGAAACGCAUCUUAAUGAUGCCGACAGUACUCGGCCAUCUUCAGUUCGUCUCACAUUGAAUGCUACCAUAUAUUAUAAGGAGGUGUAAUAAUCCACGAUGAAAGUGACAAGAACUGUACUGAUAGUGUGCCUGUUAACUACCUUGCACAUCCACAUUCAGUUAACUGAAGCUCAGGGUGCACGAUCACAAGCUCAGUCAAAACAAACUGGUACGGGAGGAAACAGAGGUAGUUACCAUGCAGGGGAUGAUGAGGAGGACCUUGAUGAUUAUGAAGACCUUGAAGACUUUGAAGAAGGUAGGAAGUCUUUACCUCCCGAGAAGCAGGCUCCAGUAGGUUCCCAAUCUGCCUCCCAGUCUUCUUCCCAGUCCUCAUCCCAGUCAGAUCCCAGACAAUCCCAGACUCACCAGGCAGCACAGCAUAAACCACCACCUCUACCUCCACCCCAUCAACCUCCUCCUGUUCACCAAGCCCAUGUCCCUCCAUCACAACAACAACCUCAUCAUGAACCUAGUACACAAGCCCCCAAAGCCCAAAGCCCAGACCAGAUAACCAAGGAAGUCCCUCCGGCAAGCCAGGUUUCACCAGACAAUGUACAAGGAAGCCCACAUUCUUCCUUAGAAAGCUCUCACUCAUCCCAAACAGCAGAUCGUGCCUCUCAGUCUUCUCAAAGUUCUCAUGCUUCUCCUGCCAAUCCUGAAUCUUCUGGGGGGUUUGAGCCCUCCUCCCACUCCCAACAUCCGGACAUCCCUCCACAUCAGCAGCUCCCCCAGAGUUCUCAGCUCCCAGAUGGAGGGCAAGGACAGGAAGAUGCUCAGCUUCGACAGGAAGAUGGGGCUGGAGUUUCCUCUACACAGGCAUUGAGAGCAGAUGGCAACAUUGAGGAUCAUGUUUCCAGGACUACCAACAUAGAUAGUGACAAACCUGACAAAGAAGAACAAUGGCCCUAUGUUCUUGAAAUGAAGAGGCAACAGUAUAUCGUCAUUGAGACUCAGGGGCAGGGUGAGAGACGAAAUGAAGUUGAAUCAAAGGAGCAAGAUGAAGGUCCUCAAGAAACCCUGGAAGAAGUUGAACAACAGACCCUUGAAGAAGAUGAACUUCAGAUUCUAGAGGAAGAUGAACUUGAGACGCUAGAAGAAGAUGAAAACCAGGCAGAUAUGGAAGAAUUGCAUGAUCAGCAGAAAGUAAAUCUUAUCGAAUCUGAAGAAGAAGAUGAAGUCAAGGACACUGGCUAUAUUCCAAUAAGGCAGCGGCAGUGGUUUUCUGACACCCUACCACCCAAGUCCUCGAGGACAGCCAAGGACAAUUCACAGAAGGUGAAGGUUGAGCAUCGACUAGAAAAAACAGCCAAGCCACUCACAGUCGAAAAACUACCCAGGCCUUAUGACAGGAAAAGCAUGGACAUGACCACAGUGAAGCGCAUCUACACUACCACAGAGACAACUUCAAAGAAGACUCAACUGCUGUUCAAACCUGAUGAGUUUGGAUUUGUUAAGAUGACAACAUACAUUCAGAAGAUCCUGUCAGAUGGAACAGUCCACACUGAGUUCUGGACUGAGGUCGUGGAACACAUCCCAGAGCUUGUUACACACAAGGAUCAGUUAAUCGCAGAAAUGGCUCGGCUGAAAGAUGAGGAAGAUGAGGAUCUGCCUGAAGAAGAGCCUUUAGUGGAAAUUGAACUUACACCAGAAGAGAAAGAAGCUGAAGAAAUGUACCAGCAAGGUCAAGCUUUGAUCAAUGGCACAUUCUCAAAGGACUACACACGAGCAUACAUCCAUUUCCUGAAAGCUGCCCAGAAGAACCACACAAAGUCAUUGGAGCAGGUCGCUUUUGGCCAUCUGUUCGGGGACUACCUGCCUCACAAUCUGUCCCGAGCCAAGGAGAUAUUCGAAGACCUGUCUCAGAGGGGGUCCCCUACAGGCCAGUUGGGUCUUGGCUUCCUGUACAGUGCGGGGCUUGGUGUCAAUUCAACUCAAGCGAGGUCUCUGAUCUACUUCACUUUCGGAGCUCUGGGCGGGGACCCAAUGGCGCAGAUGGCAAUGGGUUACCGCUACUGGGCAGGAGUUGGAGUGGAGGCCAAGUGUGAGUCCGCCCUCACCCACUACAAGAAGGUGGCCAGCACAGUGGCAGACAGUGUGUCUCUGUCAGGUGGCCCCACCGUGCAGCGUGUCCGUCUCCAGGAGGAGAGUGAGAGUCAGACAGGCAACAGCCCCCUGCUGGAUGAUGACCUCUUGCAGUACUACCACUUCCUGGCCGACAAGGGUGAUGUCCAGGCACAGGUUGUGCUAGGACAGCUGUACUACCAGGGAGGUCGAGGAGUGGCCAUCAACCAUGAGCAGGCUCUGCAGUACUUCCUGAUGGCAGCCGAGUCGGGGAAUGCCAACGCUCUAGCCUACCUGGGCAAGAUGUACACAGAGGGGAGCCCGGUGGUGAAGCAGAACAACAUGACAGCCUUCCACUACUUCAAGAACGCUGCAGACAAGGGCAACCCCGUGGGACAGACUGGCCUUGGCUUGAUGUAUAUGAACGGCAUGGGGGUGGAGAAGGACUUGACGAAGGCAGUGAGAUUCUUCACCAUGGCAGCAGACCAGGGCUGGGUGGAUGGACAACUGCAGCUGGGAAUCAUGCACUUCAGUGGUCUGGGUGUGAGACGAGACUACAAGCUGGCGGUGAAGUAUUUUAACCUAGCGUCACAAGGUGGCCAUGUCCUGGCGUACUACAACCUGGCACAGAUGCAUGCUACAGGGACGGGUGUGCUGCGCAACUGCCACACCGCUGUCGAGCUUUUCAAGAACGUUGCUGAGCGAGGCCGAUGGUCGGAGAUGCUGAUGGAUGCUCAUCGCCUGUACAAAGAAGGACAAGUAGAUGCCUCUCUCAUCAAGUACACCUUCCUGGCAGAGCUUGGGUAUGAAGUAGCACAGUCCAACGUCGCCUACAUUCUCGAUAAUGGUGAGAGUAAACUGUUUGAGGAUUUUGAAGUACACCAGAGGGCGCUGUUACAGUACACACGGGCUGCAUCUCAAGGUUCUACAUGGGCCAGAGUGAGGAUGGGGGACUACCACUACUAUGGGUUCGGGACAGACAUCGACUAUGAGUCGGCAGCCAACCACUACCGCGUGGCCUCCGAGCAGCAGCACAGUGCGCAGGCCAUGUUCAACCUGGGCUACAUGCACGAGAGAGGCCUUGGACUCCGACAGGAUGUUCAUCUGGCAAAACGCUUCUAUGACCUGGCAGCAGAGACGAGCAUGGACGCCCAGGUACCAGUAACCCUGGCACUUGUCAAACUUGGACUCUUCUACGGCUUUGAUGUCUUCAACAAAGAGAUUGAGUAUUACCAAGGUAUAUUCGCCCGCCUGGACCCGCGGUUGUACCUGGGGCCUGAUUGGGAUCUCUACAUCAUCACGCUUCUGUCUCUGGUUCUUGGACUUCUUAUUUUACUACGGCGCGCCAGGUAACACAGCGAAGGGGCAACUCGUUGACACGGAUAUCUGUAAAUUUACAUUUUUGUACAUUGUAAAUAAAUGUAAAUACUGCCAUAGUAAUUAAUUAAAGAUUUUAUUGUUUUACAAGAUUUGCUCUGUCAAGCGAGAUUAUUUUAUUUAUUCCUGAUCACACAUCUUGCUUUUUUAGUUCUUAAGUAUUACCUUAUAUAAUUAUGCAGAAAAAACACAAUUUUUUUUUUUUUUUUUCCUGGAUAUUUAAUGCAUUAACUAUUGUUAACUAUUGUCAAUGAACGGAACAUUUAUGCUGUAAUGCAUCAAUCCUUUGAUAAUCCGGGGUGUAGGGGAGAGGGAACUGGGUGGCCAAGAUUUUGUAUUGAAAUUAGAUAUUUUUUCAGCUACAGCUACAAAGCCCGAUAUUUUUUUAUGUUGAAACAAUGUCAUUUUCUAAAGGCAUUUCUUUUUUCAACAGUCUGAAGAAUAAUUAUUUUUUUGAGGAAUUUUGGGGGCACAAUUUAUUUUGUUUGAUAAAAUCACAGCCCCCACCUCCCCACACACAGACAAAAUAUCAAAUGGUCUGUCCCUAAGUAACUGUGAGAAAUAAAUUAAAGUAUGACAUUCCUAGUAAUUAAAAGAGAAAAGCGCAGAUCGCUUUAUUGUUUAUGUAUUUGGCAGCUGAUCAUGCUGGUAACUUCUCGUGUUGGGUUCGUACUCAGUCUUGAUUGUGGUGAUGAGUUGUAGAUUGGGAAUACUGUAAAUCUUGAAAUUAACGCGAGCGUGAAUUAAAUGCGAAAAAUGCGAGUGGUCUUUGCUCGCAUUAUUAAACAACGCAUUUAUAUCAACAAUAAGAUAUUUUGGACAGCAGAAAUACCAACUCAGACAUAUGCUGAAAACAAACAACUAUGUAUUCCACAUCACACCUGCAAGUCCAGACAGACGCCACCAACGCAACACGGUGUCUUUGUUCUUUGCGACUGCGUCAAAGGCCGACACGAGCCAGCGUGCAUGUAUUGUUUUAGCGGAAGUAUUCUAAUCAGUGCUAAUGAGCGGUGCUAUUUGGUGUGUGAUUGGAUUAAUGUAAGGUUGGAUGAGGAUGAGGAUUCUCCUGUAAACCUGACAGAGGACAUUUUCUUUAGAUAUAAAUCCACUGAUGCUUGAGAGGAGGGGGCUGUCGCAUUCAUAUUGAGUUGCAUUAUUGACUAGGGGCCAGCAGUCGCAUUCUUUUAGAGACGCAUUAAUUUCACGAUUUACAGUGUUCAAUCGCAGCAGUUGUCGACCUAGUGUGAAGUAAAGUCCUCUGAUCAUCCCUUGCCUUUCCUUUUGAUGGGAUUAUAUUUAUUUUAUUUAAUUAUUGCAGUUUGUAUUGUAUGUUUCCUUUAUCUGGGUGUACAAACUAGAACACAUGUUGAGGAAUAAGAUUGAUAUGUGAUGAUAAAUAUUGAUUUAAUGGCGUUUUGUCAUUAUGAUACGAAAAUGAUGAAGUUGAGUGAACAUAGUGUAAUUGGGAUGGAAAAAACGCUGUUAUUUGCACUGGUAUUUGGACAGGUGUCCUUUCUGUGUAUGUGUUCAUCCUGUUAAAAGUUUUUUAUUUUUUUUUUGCCUUUAAGCUGAAAAGCAUGUUUCCAUGAAGGUGUACUGUGUAAUUGAUCCUGUGUAUUGUCACACAAUUGUAUGUGUAUAUGUUGAAUGAAUUGUAGACAUGAGUUGUUAAGGAUAGCUGAAUGUUUCAUGGUUUUCAGAAUUCAUUUAUCGUCAACACUACUUAGGUUUUGUGUACACUACACUCAUCCCCAAUACAUACGUCCAAUUACCGGUGUAGUGUCUAAUAAGGGAGAACCCUCCACCAACCCACAAACCCUGAAAAUCAAAUGGUUUCUCCCUAACCAACUAAUCAAGACACGACUUUGUUCAAGUGAGUGGGAGGGCGGUCGGGUAGCCUUGAUGUUAAAGCGUUUGCUCGUCAGGCUGAAGACCCUGGUUUGAUUCCUGACUUGGGUACAAUAUGUGAAGCCCAUUUGCUGUGUCCCCUGCCUUGAUAUUCCUGGAAUAUUGCUAAAAGUGGCAUAAAACCAUACUCACUCAUUGCAUAGCCCAACGUGAGAUUGGCAUCAUAGCCUUUCAGUCAUCUUCAAUAGCAUGCUCAUUCACUCAAAUGAGUCGGAAACAACCGGGUUGCAUAGCCCAACGUGAGAUCGGUAUCGUAGCCUUUGUCAUCUUCAAUAGUAUGCUCAUUCACUCAAAUGAGUCGGAAACAACCGGGUUGCAUAGCCCAACGUGAGAUUGGCAUCGUAGCCUUUCAGUCGUCUUCAAUAGCAUGCAAUGGUAGGAUUCCGAAAAAGCAUGCAUUAUAAACGGCCUCAUUCCAUUAUGUGACUAAAAGUAGACCCUUCACUAUUACACCGCAGAGUGGCCGUAUGUAUUCACAGGUGAAGGAAGAACAUAGUUUACUUGUAUACAAGCCCAUGCGGUAUUGACAUACAGAGAUGUAACUUUUUGCCUUGCUUGCUUUUGUUUCACUCUUCAUCAUUUUCACCUAUUGUAACUACGACUUGAUCGUUUAAUCAGUUUCAAGUCUGUCAUAAUGGAGUUUUGUCUGUGAGGAUGUAUGGAUUAACAUGGAAAACUUACAGAUGUACCCUCACUGUAUGGAAGUUGUGUGUGUGUAUGAUAUAAAAAUGAAACAGAAUGUUUAUUUGGAA
This 6319-nucleotide unclassified non-coding RNA is filed under the name Haliotis rufescens (red abalone). Its description in RNAcentral is "protein sel-1 homolog 1-like, transcript variant X5". The record is from RNAcentral. Lineage: Eukaryota; Metazoa; Mollusca; Gastropoda; Lepetellida; Haliotidae.